GACGAACGCUGGCGGCGUGCUUAACACAUGCAAGUCGAACGGAAAGGCCCUGCUUUUGUGGGGUGCUCGAGUGGCGAACGGGUGAGUAACACGUGAGUAACCUGCCCUUGACUUUGGGAUAACUUCAGGAAACUGGGGCUAAUACCGGAUAGGAGCUCCUGCUGCAUGGUGGGGGUUGGAAAGUUUCGGCGGUUGGGGAUGGACUCGCGGCUUAUCAGCUUGUUGGUGGGGUAGUGGCUUACCAAGGCUUUGACGGGUAGCCGGCCUGAGAGGGUGACCGGCCACAUUGGGACUCAGAUACGGCCCGGACUCCUACGCGAGGCAGCAGUGGGGAAUAUUGCACUAUGGGCGGAAGCCUGAAGCAGCAACGCCGCGUGCGGGAUGACGGCCUUCGGGUUGUAAACCGCUUUCGCCUGUGACGAAGCGUGAGUGACGGUAAUGGGUAAAGAAGCACCGGCUAACUACGUG
Molecule: ribosomal RNA, 468 nt
Filed under: uncultured bacterium
Lineage: Bacteria
Description: partial 16S ribosomal RNA
Rfam family: Bacterial small subunit ribosomal RNA
Source: RNAcentral